Molecule: ribosomal RNA, 489 nt
Filed under: uncultured bacterium
Lineage: Bacteria
Description: bacterial SSU rRNA
Rfam family: Bacterial small subunit ribosomal RNA
Source: RNAcentral
GAUCAUGGCGUCAGGAUGAACGCUGGCGGCGUGCUUAACACAUGCAAGUCGAACGAAGUUAAGGAGCUUGCUUUUAAACUUAGUGGCGGACGGGUGAGUAACGCGUGGGUAACCUGCCUUUCACAGGGGGAUAACAGUUAGAAAUGACUGCUAAUACCGCAUAAGCGCACAGGACGGCAUCGUCUAGUGUGAAAAAACUCCGGUGGUGAAAGAUGGACCCGCGUCUGAUUAGCUAGUUGGUGAGGUAACGGCUCACCAAGGCGACGAUCAGUAGCCGGCCUGAGAGGGUGAACGGCCACAUUGGGACUGAGACACGGCCCAAACUCCUACGGGAGGCAGCAGUGGGGAAUAUUGCACAAUGGGGGAAACCCUGAUGCAAGCGACGCCGCGUGAGUGAAGAAGUAUUUCGGUAUGUAAGGCUCUAUCAGCAGGGAAGAAAAUGACGGUACCUGACUAAGAAGCCCCGGCUAACUACGUGCCAGCAGCCGC